Molecule: ribosomal RNA, 186 nt
Filed under: uncultured freshwater bacterium
Lineage: Bacteria
Description: partial 16S ribosomal RNA
Rfam family: Bacterial small subunit ribosomal RNA
Source: RNAcentral
CCGGGGGUGCGUGAGGAUUUUGGACAUGGGCGCAAGCCUGAUCCAGCAAUGCCGCGUGCAGGAUGAAGGCCUUCGGGUUGUAAACUGCUUUUGUACGGAACGAAACGGUGAGCUCUAAUACAGUUUGCUAAUGACGGUACCGUAAGAAUAAGCACCGGCUAACUACGUGCCAGCAGCCGCGGUAAU